AAAACCCCAAAUUCUGCCGCAAAAACGUACUAUAAACAUUUGGUGGAUUCACUUCAUCGUUACUAUCCCUCACUUUCCAACUCCAUUUUUGCUUGCCUCACUCUGAUUUUCUCUGUCUUCUUCUCGCCUUUUUUUGAUGACAAAUUAGGGCUUUUUUAGGAAAAAAAGGUGUGACUUUUGAGUUAAUGGAGGCCGUGCCCGGUGUUACUUCCGCCGUGCGCAAUGGCGGGGUUUCUUUGCCGGCGAUGUCGGCUUCUGUCUCAUUUGAACCUUCCCGCGAGGAGUGGCGCGUUGUAUCUGAGCAAUUGGUUAGAAGCUCCACUAACGAGGAGUUGGAGCGCUCAACAGUAGGUCGAUCCGUUGAGAGAUUAAUAUACGAGGUGCAGGAUGGCAGAAGGUCUCUCGAUGUUGAUUUUUGCUCGAUUAUUAUAGAUGGGGGUCCGGACAACGAUAUUUUGCAGCAGAGACUUCACAAUCUAGUGGGAAAAAGGGAGGAUUUGCACAACAUGGAGCUUGAACUUCGAGCCCAAAUAUCUGCAAGAUCUGAAAUUGUGAGAUUGCAUAAUACAUUUGAUGGUCAGAUAAAAGAGCACAUGAAUGCGAAUGUCAAACUUCAGGAGCAACUGCAUGAAAAGGAACAUAAGAUACAUGAGUUGGAGAGAUGGAUGGAUGAAAAGGAAAGAGAAUUGCAUGCCAUUAAAUUGGACAAUGAAGCGGCGUGGGCCAAAGAGGGUCUUUUAAGGGAACAAAGCAAAGAGCUCCAAAGCUAUAUGAGAGAGAGGGAUAAUGUCGAAACGGAAAGAGCACAACAUAUCAAACAAAUUCAUGAUCUUCAGGAACAUAUUCAAGAAAAAGAGCGCCAGUUUCUUGAAUUGCAGGAACAGAAUAGGAUUGUGCAAGAAAGUGCAAGUUUUAAAGAUGAGCAGAUAAGGGAGGCACACACUUGGAUAUCUCGUGCUCAGGAAAUUGAUGCAUUGCAAACAUCUGCCAAUUACACUUUACAAUCUGAACUGAGAGAACGAACAGAACAGUAUAAUCAGUUGUGGCUUGGUUGUCAAAGACAGUUCGGGGAAAUGGAAAGGCUUCAUUUGCAUGUACAACAGCUCCAGCUUGAAAUGGCUGAUGCAAGAGAAAAGAGUGGAAGUCAAUCAGAUGUAUCUCACGUGUCCCAUGCAAAUUCAAACGAUGUGUCUCGACUUGAACAUGUCAAUGGUAUCCAGUCGGAGGUGAAUGAUAACAACUCACCCUCUGUAAACACUGGUAGCUUAGAAAAUGGCAAUUCUGAAACUUCUGGAGGGAGCACUCUCAUACUGAAUGACCAAGUUAAUAGUGUUGCAUUUGCUCCAUCAUCCCUAUUUGGUAUGCCGACCUACCUUCCAACUGCAUUGCACCCAUUUGUAAUGCUUCAAGAUGGCGUAUCCCAUCCAUCACAAGUCACACAGUCGUCGCCUUUUCAGUCAUUGCAAAACUGGCAAAGCCAACAGUCUCUUUCAGAUGGCGAACACAUUCCAACACACAACCACUAUCCUGAGCAAACUGAAGAAAAUUUGUCUAGGGCAGGUUCUCAUUUUCACCAUGAAGCAUUAGCAGUAAAUGAGCAUGUUCAUCAAACAAACUAUAUGGAUGCUUCCCAGCUAGAUGCUACUGAUUCUGUGGUUCCAUCACCAAAUGGAGAGGUAGAGGAAUUGUCAUCUCAGUUCCAUGAGGCGCUUAGAGUGGAUCGCCAUGUUAUUGACAAUGACACUAAGGAGAAGGAAGGCAAACCUGUAACUAGUCACAGUGUGGACUACAGAAAUGCAAAGAUGGAAAAUCCUAGUUUUACAGUCAAUGCAUCUUCACCAGAAGGACAAACUCGUGCUGUUAAUUUUAGUGAAACAACCUCAAGUACUGCCUUAAGUGAUGCUUCAAUCAUUGCCUUUGCUUCCAUGGGUCAGAAAAGUAAUAUAGCUGGAAAUCUUGGUGAAAGUUAUCAAUUGGAUGAAAGAGCAUUACUGGCUUCAAUAGCUCGUGCUAUAGGAUCUGGUGGCAGGACAAGAAUUAGUACGACUCUUCCAAAUAGACUUGGGAAAAUGCUUGCACCUCUUCAUUGGCAUGAUUAUAAAAAGAAACACGGGAAGCUUGAUGAUUUUGUUGCCAGUCAUCCUGAUUUAUUUUUGAUCGAGGGAGACUACAUUCAGCUUCGAGAAGGUGCACAGAAAACCAUAGCAGCCACAGCAACUGCUGCUAAAGUGGCCGCUGCUGCUGCAGCUGCUCCAUCUUCUCUUUCAUCACUGAUGCCUUCUGUAGCAGUCACUCCCAUGGCACAUUCCCACAGAUCGAAAAAGUUCUCAGCAAUGCAAAGUCAGAACUUGAACAGAAGCACCUUUCAUGUUGCUGGAGGAGUCUCGAAUGAUAUGUUGAGCAAAUCAAAUGAUCAUGCAGAACCGACGAGCUCUGUUACUAUGGGGUCUACCAUGUUGACAACUGGAAAUGGAAUGAGCCCUGACAGAAUUGGUCAUCCUCAAAGCAAAGGUCCAUUUCAGAGGACUGGCAUGAGCAUGGCUGGGCAAAAAUAGAGCAGGACAACUGGUGCUGCAUCAAUUCCCAGAAGAUAUGCAUUGUAAAGCAAUAUCCACCAUCGCCAGUGCUUCUUGCUGCUCCUCUCUCUCCCAGUGCAUUAUUUCUUCAUCCAAGAUACCGAAAUUAUAGUUGCAACCAUGUUCUGUCGUCUUUACCCAGGAGACAAUAUCUAAGCCCUCAUCAAAGCUUGGAUCCACCGAAUCCAAUUUUGCUGCCCCAAAAUCUCCAAUCUUGGGUUCAAAUUCCGAAUCCAGCAGAAUGUUGUCUGAUUUGACAUCCCUGUGAAUGAUUGGAGGUACACAGUCAUGGUGAAGAUACGACAAACCUUGAGCUAUUCCAAGAGCAAUACGGCAUCGCUGCUCCCAGCUCAAAGCUACGCGAGCAGAUCUUGAUGAGAAGAUGAUGGGGUACGGUGCCAAAAACGAGUUAAUAACGUGUAUAUGGCUGCAAGAAGGCAUACUGUCAAGAAAAAUGAUCCAAUUAUUAUACCCGCGAGGACUGGACCUCCUGGAUGUGCUUUCUUGUGACUUCUGCAGUUGCCGCCUUUCAUGGAUGCUAGACAGAGUCUUGGAUUUCCCAGAGUCGUUCUGGGAUCUGACUCCAAUGCCUUUGCCCAAACAGAUGGAAUUUGGCCUGAGAGUUGGUUAUAUGAUAUGUUCACAAAUCGAAGUGAUACCAUAUUGUCUGCUGAUGGUAACUCGCCUACGAAACUGUUGUUUGAGAUAUCAAGAGUCUGCAACAUUUUGAGAUUGCCAAUGCAUCCAGGGAUUUCUCCAGAAAACUUGUUAAUACUCAAGUUCAGACUCUCAAGAUUUUCUAUUCUACUCAGACUGCAAGGAAAAUGACCCCCAAGCAAAUUGUUCCCAAGCUGCAGCUCUAGCAGGUUUUUGCUACUAGAAAAAGCCUCUGGAAUCACUCCAGUUAAAUUGUUGUCUUGAAGCUGAAUGAUUGUCAUUGUUGAUGAAGAAGGAUCUGAAGCGGGACACCUCCUGCAAGUUGAUUCUUGCUGAGGUCUAGUAUGUCAAUUUUUGGACAACGACUCAACUCGGCAGGAAUUUCUCCUGUCAAUCUGUUUGAAGAAAUAUAUAGUUCUACAAGAUUUUGAAGCUCCCCAAAUUUCUUUGGUAUUGAGCCUGAAAACUUAUUCUCUGAAAGAUCAACCAAUGAGAGAUUGCUCCAGGAAGCAAAUACCAUUGGGAUGGUUCCUUCAAACAUGUUUCCUCGAAUAUUAAAAUAUUCAAUGCUGGAUGAAUUUCCCAUGUCAUUCGGUAUGCUUCCUUGCAAACGAUUGUUUUUGAGAGAGAAUCUAAUCAGGGACUUACAUUUGAUGAUUUCUGUGGGGAAACCGCCUGUAAAUUUGUUGUCAUCAAGGAUGAAGUGCCAAAGACGGCUGCCAGAGCAUGCAGCACUUGGAAUUUCUCCAGUGAACUGAUUUCCUUUAAGAUCCAAGAUAAAUAAACCAGGAAUAUUCUUGCCCAGAUCUGAUGGAAUCUCGCCUUCUAACUUGUUUAGAGACAAAAUAAGUUGUGUAAGGUUUGCCAACUUGGUAAUUCCAGGGGGUAUUCUGCCUGUCAUACGAUUACCAAGAAUGCUGAACACUUGAAGAGAUAUCAAACUGUCUAUGCAAUGUGGUAUAGGACCCUCAAUCUGAUUGUGAUUCAGCAUGAGAUACUCCAAAUUCCGUAGGCCACAAAUUUCAGGAGGAAUAAAUCCACUGAUGUUGUUUUCACGUAAUAUAAUAUCGACUAGAGAAGUGCAGUUUCCGAUUCCUGGUGGUAGAGGACCACUGAGCUUAUUUUUAUCGAGAUACAUGAUCUCCAAGUUCCUGAGAUAAGAAACUGAAGCUGGAAUAGGACCAGUCAAGUUGUUUAUAGAUAAGUCUAGGCGAACAAGCUGAUCCAAUUGCCUGAUGUCUUCAGGAAUCCUCCCACUAAAGCUGUUGUUCCAAAGCACGAGUCUCGUUAAAUUUCUGAGACUCCAGAAGGACAUAGGAAUUUGCCCUUCAAAUUUGUUGUGAUCCAAGGACAGUCUUUCAAGCUGCAUCAGCCCCUUGAAAAUAUCCUGCUCAAUCACUCCUCCAAGAUGGUUACUAGAUGCAUUCAGUACUAGGAGAUCAUGACAGUUGCUUAUGGAUGAUGGCAAGGGACCAUGGAAUGAAUUUUCAGGCAGCUGCAGUUCAAGAAGCGAGCAUCUGGACGGAAGAUCAGGCAAGGUUCCAUUUAAUUUAUUCAGAGUCAAGUAGAGAUAUCUCAGACUCUGAAUAGAAAACAGUUGACUUGGAAUUUGACCGCUCAGUGAAUUCUUCUCCAAUGAAAGAAAUUCAAGACGUUUGCAUUGCCCCACCUCAGCUGGAAUCAUGCCGGAUAGUUUGUUGCUGCCCAAGUUGAGAGCUAGAAGCUUCCCUGGUUUGAAAACAUAAGGUGGAAUUGGGCCUGACAGGUGAUUGCUGUUGAGAUUAACAUCGAUGAGCUGACUGCAGUUUCCAAGCACAGCAGGAAUGCUUCCACCGAAAUUGUUGCCACUGAGAUCAACAAGAACCAGAUGAGGAACCUCACACAGGAAUGAAUACGAAUCCUCUAGAACCCCACUGAGGCCGUAUCCCUUUAGCUCCAGUUUUUCCACGCGAAAAUCAGUUUCAUUUGAGUAGCAAGAAACACCAGGCCAGCUGCAGUGAGCAGAAGAUGAGGUGGUUUGGUUCCAUUGCAGGAGAGACUUUGAGGUUUCUGGCAGACUGUUACGGAAUUGGAGAAGCUGCAGCGCAGCUGGAGGCUGCGAAGCAGAUGGGAUUGGGACAAGGAACAGAAUAUAACCAAGAUACAGAAGAAGCAUUUGGUAAUCUUUUAUCAAUCUGCUUUUGAUUUAGAGAAUUCGAGUGCUGGGCUGUGUUUAGUUCUGUUGGAUUGUGUGUAUGUGUAUAUUGAUCAUGUGAUGAAGAACCAGCGAGUCUGAACAUGUUUGAUUUGUUUGGUUUUGAAUAUUUUAGAAAUGUUUGUGAGAGUGAUGUUGGUCCAA
Salvia hispanica is the source of this 5571-nucleotide RNA transcript. RefSeq lists it as uncharacterized. The record is from RefSeq and is a predicted model, not a curated record. Lineage: Eukaryota; Viridiplantae; Streptophyta; Magnoliopsida; Lamiales; Lamiaceae.